This 740-nucleotide long non-coding RNA is filed under the name Panax ginseng (ginseng). RNAcentral describes it as "long non-coding RNA (PGIN_LNC015095)". Lineage: Eukaryota; Viridiplantae; Streptophyta; Magnoliopsida; Apiales; Araliaceae. The record is from RNAcentral.
ACUUGGCCAUAACUCUCCCAACCUCUUACCAACGAAAUUAUCUUGCCCAUAAGCUCCUAAUCAAAGCCCAACCAUCACAAACAACAAAUCAGAAGCAUCAAAGCCAAAAAAAUCAAAAAUCGAAGCUAGAAAAGGUAUGAAAUUCCCUAAUUUAGAAAUCCUUCGAUUCGAUGUUAAUUGAUGCAAUUGAUUGUUUAAAGUAGUGUAAUAGGGAGUCUAUUAAUGUUCUGGGUUGUAAAAUCAUGAACCCAUAACAUCAAAGUGCACGAAUUUGAAGAUUUGAGCAAGUUGGAAAAACCGAAUUCUGUGAUUUUUGGGCAAAUGUCAAGACUUAUAUCUCUGUGAUUAUUUACUGUUUGUGUUGUUUAAAAGUUGUUAGGUGUAUCUUGUUAUGUGGUCUUUAACCUCCAAAAGGAAUCAAGUUCAUAUCUAUUGUAGAUCGGGAUUUAUAAGCGGUCAAAGUGGGUUGACCGACAUUGACCGGCUGUUUUUCAAAUCCAGAAAAUAUUCUAAGUGUCCAGAAAAUAUUUUUUUGGCAAAUGUCAGGCCUUAUAUCUCAGUCAUCUGUAAUGUGUUUUGUAUUCUAAAGGUUGAUAUGUGUAGCUUGUUAUGUGGUAUUUAAUCUCCAAAAAUAAUCAGGUCCAUAUAUAUUACGGAUUAAUAGUUAUUUAAGGUCAAAGUGGGUUGACCGGCAUUGAUCAGAAAAUUCUGGGCAGCCCAGAAUUUUCUAAGUGUUAAUU